AUGCCAUGAUGAGGGAAUUUUUGUAACAAGUCCUUAAACCGCUCCCAUGCCUCGUAUAAAGAUUCCUCAUCAAGUUGCUGAAAUGAAGUAAUCUCAUUAUGGAGCUU
This is a small nucleolar RNA of Humulus lupulus (European hop), 107 nucleotides long. NCBI's taxonomy places the organism in Eukaryota, Viridiplantae, Streptophyta, Magnoliopsida, Rosales, Cannabaceae. The record is from RefSeq and is a predicted model, not a curated record.